RNAcentral lists this ribosomal RNA (1149 nucleotides) under Triticum aestivum (bread wheat). RNAcentral's name for it is "partial small subunit ribosomal RNA". The record is from RNAcentral. Lineage: Eukaryota; Viridiplantae; Streptophyta; Magnoliopsida; Poales; Poaceae.
GUAAAAUUGGAUUUUGACGCCGCAGCGUGCGUAACUGUUUCGGAGAGUUACCGCCUCGAAGAUCUGCUAAAGAAGAUAGCCACCGAGUUAGGCAUCACAAUCAAUGUUGCCAACGUUGAGACGAGAGGCCUAGCAGAGUCCAUCCAUAACUACCUUCAAGGUAAAAAUUACAUUUUGGUCUUGGAUGAUGUUUGGACUCCGCUUGUUUGGUUGGAGAUAAGGAAUGUCUUUCCAACAUCUAACUGUACCAGUCGAUUUGUUAUCACAUCAAGAAAGCAUGAAGUGUCACUGUUAGCAACUGGGGAGUCUGCACUUCACUUGGAACUGCUAGAAGUACAUCACUCCUGGCUGUUAUUUUGCAAAGGAGCCUUUUGGAAUGAUGAUGAUAAGGAGUGCCCGUUGGAGUUGCAAAAAUUGGCUUGGAAGUUCAUAGCAAAGUGCCGAGGCUUGCCUAUUGCUAUUGCAUGCAUUGGCCGCCUACUCUCCUGCAAACCCCCAACUUUGGCUGAAUGGGAGAAUGUAUACAGGCGUUUGGAUUCACAUUUGAUGAAAGAUGUGAUCCCUGAUGUUCAUAUGAUUCUAAAGGUCAGCUUGGAGGACCUUCCACACAAUUUGAAGAAUUGUUUCUUACACUGUGCAUUAUUCCCAGAAGAUUAUGUAUUAAAGAGGAGGACGAUAAUGAGGCAGUGGAUUGCUGUAGGAUUUAUCAGGGAAAAGGAGGAUAGCAAAAUACUGGAAAAAAUGUCAGAGAGAUACUUGAUUGAGCUUGUCAACCGAAGCCUACUACAUGUAGUGGAAAGGAAUUAUGCUGGACGACUUAAGCACUGCCGGAUGCAUGAUGUCAUACGCCUCCUUGCCCUCAACAAAGCCAAGGAGGAAUGCUUUGGUAAAGUUUAUGAUAGCUCACCUACUGGGACAUCCUCUGUAGAGGAUGCACGUCGCAUAUUUGUCCCGGGGGGAAACAUCAAACAAAUGAGCCGAUCUGGUGGAACACAUCUCCGUGGAUUCCAUGUAUUCGGGUGGUAUAUCGAUAUUGAUUUGCUGAAGCCUAUCCUAAUCUCUUUGAAUUUUUUGUUAACAUUGGAUUUGCAAGGUACUUGCAUUAAAAUAUUGCCCAAUGAGGUAUUCAACUUGUUUAGUAAGGCAGCU